UACGAAGGGGGCUAGCGUUGCUCGGAAUCACUGGGCGUAAAGGGUGCGUAGGCGGGUCUUUAAGUCAGGGGUGAAAUCCUGGAGCUCAACUCCAGAACUGCCUUUGAUACUGAAGAUCUUGAGUGCGGGAGAGGUGAGUGGAACUGCGAGUGUAGAGGUGAAAUUCGUAGAUAUUCGCAAGAACACCAGUGGCGAAGGCGGCUCACUGGCCCGAUACUGACGCUGAGGCGCGAAAGCCAGGGGAGCGAACGGG
Molecule: ribosomal RNA, 253 nt
Filed under: uncultured bacterium
Lineage: Bacteria
Description: partial 16S ribosomal RNA
Rfam family: Bacterial small subunit ribosomal RNA
Source: RNAcentral